This 445-nucleotide ribosomal RNA is filed under the name uncultured bacterium. RNAcentral describes it as "partial 16S ribosomal RNA". It matches the Rfam family "Bacterial small subunit ribosomal RNA", at positions 354 to 796 of the family's 1533-position model. The record is from RNAcentral.
GUGAGGAAUAUUGGUCAAUGAGCGCAAGCCUGAACCAGCCAUGCCGCGUGCAGGAAGACGGUCCUAUGGAUUGUAAACUGCUUUUAUUUGGGAAUAAACUCCGGUACGUGUACCGGCCUGAAGGUACCAAAUGAAUAAGCACCGGCUAACUCCGUGCCAGCAGCCGCGGUAAUACGGAGGGUGCAAGCGUUAUCCGGAAUCAUUUGGUUUAAAGGGUCCGCAGGCGGUCUUAUAAGUCAGUGGUGAAAGCCUACAGCUCAACUGUAGAACUGCCAUUGAUACUGUAGGACUUGAAUUCGAUCGAAGUGGGCGGAAUGUGACAUGUAGCGGUGAAAUGCUUAGAUAUGUCACAGAACACCGUUAGCGAAGGCAGCUCACUAGGUCUGGAUUGACGCUCAGGGACGAAAGCGUGGGGAGCAAACAGGAUUAGAAACCCGAGUAGUCC